Molecule: long non-coding RNA, 1474 nt
Filed under: Bos indicus x Bos taurus (hybrid cattle)
Lineage: Eukaryota; Metazoa; Chordata; Mammalia; Artiodactyla; Bovidae
Description: lncRNA (ENSBIXG00005002782.1)
Source: RNAcentral
GGAAGGGAUAGCCUUCGUUUCCACGAUGACUCUCUGGAUUAGGUUUAAGGGCAGUAUCAGCCUGAAACAAGUAUUCUGGCAUCUUGUCUCGUAGGUGCUUUACUCAAAAAGUAGACAGAUGUCUACUUUUGGAGUAAAGACCUACAUUCAGCUCAAGACCUGAAUGACCUGACUUUUCUUUCAUGCUAGAGAUGAAGUCAGUGGAAGAGGGAAAAAAAAAUAUUGAAAGAGUGCAUUUGACAACGGUGGGAGAGCAGAGAGGAGGGACUUCCAAGACAUCUUUGCCGCUCAGGUGGACUCCAGGUGACUGAGGGUGACGGAACAGGAAAAGCGAAGAAUGGUUGUGCAUCUUUCUUAAAAGCCAUGUGCACCUGUUGGUGAGAUUUUGUUUCUGAUAAUAGCUUCUUUCUGCCCUUCUAGAGAGUUUGUAGUGGCUGAUGUAUGAACAAAGGAGACUGCUACUUUGUACAAAGAAGAUGGCUAAAGAUGAACCUUCUCUAAAGCAGGGAAAAGUGUUACAUAAAACAUAAUUUUUUUUUUUCUCAAACAAGAAACGUCCUUACAGUUCUAAGCCAUUUUCAGGAUACUUUCAAAACUGAGAAAAACAUCUGGUAACUAAAUCCUUUCUUUAAAAAUGCAUUUAUUCUUGUUAAUGUAGGAGUCAAGACCCUUAGCUGUGACAAUAUGGAAAGAAUCAUAAUUAUGUCCAAGAGUGUAGAACUAAAGUAGAUUUUUCAUAAACACUGGGAGUCCAUUUUAAUAUGUAGAUUAUAUGGCAGCAAGGCAAUAAUUUUAAAUUCCACCGCUUCUCCAUAAGUUAUUUCCUGAUAAUUCUGCUUGUAAUCGUUUCACCCCUCCCAAACCUACAUAUGCAGGCAGACUCUUUGUCACAGCUGCUCACUGGACAUCUCCGCAGUGGAUAUUCCAAAGUUUCCUCGAAUCCAGCCAACCUCCCAGCAAGAUGGUUGCCAGAUCACCAGGAGGGAAGAUUCAGUCUGAGAUCAUUUCAGAUUCAGCUCUCCUGCCAAAGCUGCUGGGCAUACAUACGGUGCAAAGGGAUGCUCCCACACAAGGAUACGCCUUCGAGACUGGGGUAGAUAACUGUUUUGCCUAACUUCAUAGAGACAGAGAAAGGUAAACAAAAUGAGAAGAGAUAAGCAUAUGUUUCAAAUGAAAGAGCAAGAAAAAAACCCUGAAAAACCCUAAUGAAAGAGAGAUAAAUAAUUUACUUGAUAAAAAGUUGAAAGAAAUAGCAAUAAGAAUGUUAAGUGACUUGGAAAAAUGGUAGAUGUGCAAGUGAGAAUUUCAACAAAGAACUAGAAAAUAUAAAAAAGAACCAAUGAGAACUGAAGAAUACAGUGAAAGUGAAAGUGUUAGUUGCUCAAUCGUGUCUGACUCUUUGUGACACCAUGGACUGUAGUCUGCCAUGCUCCUCUGUCCAUGGAAUUCUCCAGGCAAGAAUACUGGAGAGGAU